RNAcentral lists this ribosomal RNA (495 nucleotides) under uncultured bacterium. Its description in RNAcentral is "partial 16S ribosomal RNA". It matches the Rfam family "Bacterial small subunit ribosomal RNA", at positions 28 to 507 of the family's 1533-position model. The record is from RNAcentral.
GACGAACGCUGGCGGCGUGCCUAAUACAUGCAAGUAGAACGCUGAAGGAGGAGCUUGCUUCUCUGGAUGAGUUGCGAACGGGUGAGUAACGCGUAGGUAACCUGCCUGGUAGCGGGGGAUAACUAUUGGAAACGAUAGCUAAUACCGCAUAAUAGUAGAUGUUGCAUGACAUUUGCUUAAAAGGUGCAAUUGCAUCACUACCAGAUGGACCUGCGUUGUAUUAGCUAGUUGGUGGGGUAACGGCUCACCAAGGCGACGAUACAUAGCCGACCUGAGAGGGGGAGCGGCCACACGUGGACUGAGACAAGGCCCAGACUGCUACGGGAGGCAGCAGUAGGGAAUCUUCGGAAAUGGACGGAAGUCUGACCGAGCAACGCCGCGGGAGUGAAGAAGGUUUUCGGAUCGUAAAGCUCUGUUGUAAGAGAAGAACGAGUGUGAGAGUGGAAAGUUCACACUGUGACGGUAUCUUACCAGAAAGGGACGGCUAACUACGUG